ACGGGUGAGUAACGCGUGGGAAUCUACCCAUCUCUGCGGAAUAGCUCUGGGAAACUGGAAUUAAUACCGCAUACGCCCUACGGGGGAAAGAUUUAUCGGGGAUGGAUGAGCCCGCGUUGGAUUAGCUAGUUGGUGGGGUAAAGGCCUACCAAGGCGACGAUCCAUAGCUGGUCUGAGAGGAUGAUCAGCCACAUUGGGACUGAGACACGGCCCAAACUCCUACGGGAGGCAGCAGUGGGGAAUAUUGGACAAUGGGCGCAAGCCUGAUCCAGCCAUGCCGCGUGAGUGAUGAAGGCCUUAGGGUUGUAAAGCUCUUUCACCGAUGAAGAUAAUGACGGUAGUCGGAGAAGAAGCCCCGGCUAACUUCGUGCCAGCAGCCGCGGUAAUACGAAGGGGGCUAGCGUUGUUCGGAAUUACUGGGCGUAAAGCGCACGUAGGCGGAUAUUUAAGUCAGGGGUGAAAUCCCGCAGCUCAACUGCGGAACUGCCUUUGAUACUGGGUAUCUUGAGUAUGGAAGAGGUAAGUGGAAUUCCGAGUGUAGAGGUGAAAUUCGUAGA
Molecule: ribosomal RNA, 557 nt
Filed under: Rhizobium sp. HRTP178
Lineage: Bacteria; Pseudomonadati; Pseudomonadota; Alphaproteobacteria; Hyphomicrobiales; Rhizobiaceae
Also listed under: 3 other names
Description: bacterial SSU rRNA
Rfam family: Bacterial small subunit ribosomal RNA
Source: RNAcentral